GAGGAACGCGGGCGGCGUGCCUAAUACAUGCAAGUCGAGCGAACGGACGAGAAGCUUGCUUCUCUGAUGUUAGCGGCGGACGGGUGAGUAACACGUGGAUAACCUACCUAUAAGACUGGGAUAACUUCGGGAAACCGGAGCUAAUACCGGAUGAUAUUUUGAACCGCAUGGUUCAAAAGUGAAAGACGGUCUUGCUGUCACUUAUAGAUGGAUCCGCGCUGCAUUAGCUAGUUGGUAAGGUAACGGCUUACCAAGGCAACGAUGCAUAGCCGACCUGAGAGGGUGAUCGGCCACACUGGAACUGAGACACGGUCCAGACUCCUACGGGAGGCAGCAGUAGGGAAUCUUCCGCAAUGGGCGAAAGCCUGACGGAGCAACGCCGCGUGAGUGAUGAAGGUCUUCGGAUCGUAAAACUCUGUUAUUAGGGAAGAACAUAUGUGUAAGUAACUGUGCACAUCUUGACGGUACCUAAUCAGAAAGCCACGGCUAACUACGUG
This 497-nucleotide ribosomal RNA is filed under the name uncultured bacterium. RNAcentral's name for it is "partial 16S ribosomal RNA". It matches the Rfam family "Bacterial small subunit ribosomal RNA", at positions 28 to 507 of the family's 1533-position model. The record is from RNAcentral.